UUUGUCACGACUUCGAUCGGUCAUCUGCAGGAGAGGCAUCAGACGCUGUUUCAGCCUCCUCUUCCAGCCUCUUAUACGAAGAACUUCGAAGGUAUCUACUUGGCCGUGGCCGAUAAGAUUAUGAUUGGAUGGCCUGAGCCUUGGUGGGGAAGUCAGGAUCCGUUGUUCUUCUUCGUCUUAUGGACCAACCAGACGCUUUCCAAGGAAAUGGACUGGCUCCACGGGAUCACUUGUAUUUUCACCAUCCACCAGCAGCCAAACAUCCUGGAGAUGUUCGUCACGGCAGAUAGCGCAAGAAGGAUGGAAGUCCUACCAGAGGGCGUGGUCAAACAGCACAUCCUUCACCUCCUCCGAUCGUUCAGUGGUCUCCCUGUUCCGGAACCGACAUUCUUCAAAAGGAGCAAGUGGGGUCUCGACCCCUGGAGAAGGGGUUCGUAUUGUUCCCUCUUCACCAUCGAAGCUGAACAAGCUGGCCUCCAAAACCGCCGAGAGUUCACCAUACCUUUGACGAACGCCAAGGGUGUUGAAGUAAGCAGUCUCCACUGAGACCUUAUC
Molecule: long non-coding RNA, 555 nt
Organism: Macrobrachium nipponense
Lineage: Eukaryota; Metazoa; Arthropoda; Malacostraca; Decapoda; Palaemonidae
Exons: 4
Source: RefSeq, a predicted model, not a curated record